This is a non-coding RNA of Musa acuminata subsp. malaccensis (wild Malaysian banana), 1112 nucleotides long. The record is from RefSeq and is a predicted model, not a curated record. NCBI's taxonomy places the organism in Eukaryota, Viridiplantae, Streptophyta, Magnoliopsida, Zingiberales, Musaceae.
AAAGCCAAAAGCGGUGGCUUUUGAUAGACAUCAAACAGCGUCCGAGACCUUUGACGUUGACUGCCCUUUCCCCCUCCUCCUCCUACUCCUCCUCUCUCUCCUCUCUCCUUCCUCGUUGUCUCUUCCCCCGUCUCACUGUUUCUCGUACGUGGACACCGAAUUACCAUUGGUGGCGACUUGAGGUCCGCACGGACAUGGUGGGGUUUGACACUGGUGAAUUCAACAGGAUCGAGAAGAUGAUAUGCCGAACAAUAACAUCAUGUUUCACGUGAGGUCGGGGAGCUCAUUCGGUCACCGCGAUCUUUGCGUGUCCAACGGUGUUUCUGCCUGACAGAUGUUCGACGUCUUGUCUCAUAGUCUUCUCCAGAUCGUUAGAGAUAUGUCACUUCCUAACAGAGACUUGGAAUGCCGUGGGUCUCAUAUGCUUAGCCAUGCAAUGUGAUCCUCAUCCCAUACGAGCAACAAGAACAACAAAUCCACUGCGGGAGAUAAAUUUCAGAGAUUUUUUUUCUCUGUUUGCAUUUCUUCUUCGAUAAAUUUCGAUUAACUUCGUUCUUAAUGUUUGAUUCUCUUGUCUGACUUGAUUGAUUAUAAUUAGGUUUGACUGUUCGGACUAACUUAGAUGUAAAAGAACGAGGAGGGGUGGCUGCUGCCGAGUCAUAUCUGCGUGUCCCGACACUCCAUCGGUCGGACCAAACAGAGGUGGCGGUCAGACAUUUCCACAAACAGGCAAAGGGUGCUCUGCCGGGGGUCAAACGAUACAUCGGAACAUCGGCAAGCUUCAAAACACAGGCACUUCCAAAAGCAACCCAAGACGACGACGCAGAAGGAAGGACUCGCAGAGUGGGGCGGCGUUGGCUCCGAGUACCGUAUGAGACAACAGGGAAGGCAAUCAUGAGCUUAGCAGCAGCGUUUAUUUAGAUGAUCGCAUGCCAUAGAAUAGUGUGAGGGAGACGUCUACAGCAGAGGAUGGAUUGAAAUGCCUUCAAUUCAUUUCACACCAUACUGAUUCAUAUAUGGUGUUAAUUGUGACACUUAAUGUUAAGAACAAAGCAAGAAAUGUUGGUUCCAAAUUAUUAAUAUAGAAAAAAUAUUGAGAUUGCAAAAGGAAA